RNAcentral lists this ribosomal RNA (452 nucleotides) under uncultured bacterium. RNAcentral describes it as "bacterial SSU rRNA". It matches the Rfam family "Bacterial small subunit ribosomal RNA", at positions 1052 to 1504 of the family's 1533-position model. The record is from RNAcentral.
UCGUCAGCUCGUGCCGUGAGGUGUUGGGUUAAGUCCCGCAACGAGCGCAACCCCUAUCAAUAGUUGCCAACAGGUAAAGCUGGGAACUCUAAAAAAACUGCCGCCGUAAGGCGUGAGGAAGGAGGGGAUGAUGUCAAGUCAUCAUGGCCUUUAUGCCCAGGGCUACACACGUGCUACAAUGGGGUGGACAAAGGGCUGCAACACGGUGACGUGAAGCCAAUCCCAAAAACCAUCUCUCAGUUCAGAUUGGAGUCUGCAACUCGACUCCAUGAAGCUGGAAUCGCUAGUAAUCGUAUAUCAGCAAUGAUACGGUGAAUACGUUCCCGGACCUUGCACACACCGCCCGUCAAGCCAUGGGAGCCGGGUGUACCUAAAGUCGGUAACCGCAAGGAGCUGCCUAGCGCUCUAUAUAAUACGGGUGACUGGGGCUAAGUCGUAACAAGGUAGCCGUA